UCCAACAAAAAAAAAAAAAAAACAAUUGCACAUGAUGCCUCACGUGCACUUCUCCCCAUUAGCGAUCCUCCACCACCUCACGUGCACCUCCUUCUCUCCUACAUGAGCAAGGAUGUCUAGUUGCCGGCUGCCUCAUCCCGAUCCUCCACCGCUUGAUGCCCGCGCGAACCAUCUUAUAUCCCAUCCAUCAGCACCAUUAAAUGCCGAAGAUUGCGAGGAUCGAGCUAGAUCAGCGCUUGUGGACGCCGAAGCAGCUUCUUUUCUAGGGUUUCUACUCCCGUGAUAGAGCGAGCUAGGGGGAUCUUUGGACAUUGCCGAGGGAUUUUUGAAGAGUUGAUCUAGAGGUUGCUAGAUUUGUGCUGUACUUCGAUCUUCUUGAAGUAAGUGACAUGACUCUUUUUUGGAUUCCAUCAUGUAAAUUUUACCCACCAUGUUAGUGUAAUGCCGGGCAUGAGGCUUCAUGAUUUCAUCGACAAUAAAGCUUGAGAUCAUGGGUGAAAGAUCUGAAUUUUCUUUUGUUUUUUGGUAAUUGUUUUGAUUCAUGCAAUUCUUAAUAUCACUGUAGCAAAUUGUAGAAGUACAUGGAAAAUGAUGCUCCUGGCCAAAUUCCUUUUUCUUUCUUCUUAAAUCGCUAUGGAUCUCUGAUCUGAUGAUCUCUAAAUAGAAAUACAAGGAUCAAUACAGUGUUUUCUCUAUAUUUCUAUUGUUUUUCUUCAUACUGUGUUGAGGUCAUUGGACAUUGCAAGAUAUUUUUGUGCAUCUAAUUGGUGGAAGA
This is a long non-coding RNA of Phoenix dactylifera (date palm), 775 nucleotides long. RefSeq lists it as uncharacterized. The record is from RefSeq and is a predicted model, not a curated record. NCBI's taxonomy places the organism in Eukaryota, Viridiplantae, Streptophyta, Magnoliopsida, Arecales, Arecaceae.